CAAAUUUAAAAUCCCUAGCAGAAAAGCCAACUCCUUCCUCUCUUAGUUUUAGCACAAUAGUUUUGUCUGUUUCCGUUUUUGUAAUGGUAUAACCAGGGAGCUGUACAAAUGCUGAGAGGCCCUGUGGGCAUUUGGCAUGGCACAUACAUUUUGUUCUUUGCCAGUGGGGUUGCUUUUGCAUUCUACACUUUUACUCCCACACUCUCAUGCCAUGGAAGCUACAAGACCAGACUAGGAAACUGGCUGUGCUUGAGAGGGACAGAGUGAAGCACAUGCACAUCUUUGAAGAACGAAGUUGGAAGAGAUUUUGACAUGGACACACUUCACGGAGGCCUUUAUAAGUACAGGUAAUGGAGGCUUGAAGAGAGGAGAAACUUUGCAGACUGUAGCUGGAGGGGGGAUG
RNAcentral lists this long non-coding RNA (403 nucleotides) under Fukomys damarensis (Damara mole-rat). RNAcentral's name for it is "lncRNA (ENSFDAG00000029422.1)". Lineage: Eukaryota; Metazoa; Chordata; Mammalia; Rodentia; Bathyergidae. The record is from RNAcentral.